UUCAAAUGUAAAUUAAAACGCUUCAGUGCCAACGGCAAAUUCUGAGGCACUCGCAACCAACCAAUAAAAAAAGUGUGCAAAAAUAGAAACAAAUCAUAGUAGAAAAAUAAAAAGAAGAAGAAGAAGAAGCAAAAGAAAUCAAAGUAACAAAGUAGACGGUUAGGUGCAACCAACCGUAAAGUGUCAUGAUUAUCUUGGAAUUUUUCUUGUGCAAGAAAAACAAGAAAAUUUGAAUUUUUAUGGUGCAAUCAAAUAAUUAUUUUGUGCACUAACCAAAAAGUGGAUAAAAAGAGUGAAAAACAGCGAAGAGUGCUUCUCAUUGAGCAAAAAAAAAAAAAAAGAAAACAAAUAUUAAAAGGAUAACAACAACCAAGAGGCUUCGCAACUAAACGCCAAGUUCUUCAUAAUCAUUAGUAUUUGCAUUUAAAUGACACAAUUCCCGACAAAUGUUGUUCCAACGCCUGUUUCCCUUGUUGCGGUGAUGGGCAGGGAGUUGCUCUAAAAACUCCCAUGUCAUUCAGUCGACCAACAGUGGCCAUACUUGUUGUCAACUGAGCCUGUUGUUCAGUGAUUUUCACAAAAAAAGCGAAAUCUAACAACAACGCAUACUUUCAUCAAAUGACAGCAAAGUUUUUCAAUUUCAAAAUACAAUUAAAUUAUAAUUAAAACAACAACUACUAAACAAGAGUGCUUUAAAAUUGUUCAAGUGAUACUUUCCCCCCUCAAAAAAAGAAAGCAAAGUGAAUAUAAAAAGUGUGAUGUGUUUUAAUUAAAAGUUUUCCACAAAAAAAAAGUAUCAAAUGUUUUAAAUUAGAAAAAAUACAUGCCAACGCCUUUGAGGGAUAUCUCAGUGAUUGGAAGUGAAAUACAAAAAAUAAUAAAAAACCAAUUCACUUUUCUAUUUGUGGUUAUUCUCUCCCUCCACUUAAUUUUCAAAUAGUUUAUGUGUGACAAAAAACAAAAAAAAAACAUUAGAUAAACUUUCACUUGCUCACUUCCAGCCACCCUCAUCACCAGCAAAGGAUAUUUUUUGCUGCUUUACCCAGAAUUGAUUGAUUCAUUUCAUUCUAUUGUGCAGCAUUAUAAUCUCAAUGGAAUACAUUUUUAUUGCUGGCGGAUAAUAUCGAUAAAGGAUAAAAAAAAAAACUUUGGGAAAGAAGCGCCAUUGGCUGGUAACGAGGGACUGACAUUUAAAACUAGAAAUUCAUAACUGCACACACUUUGGCACGACACGAGAAAAAUCCCCACCAGACCAGAUCCAAGGGACUAGCAGCAGCGCACCAGCGUCCGCCACAACCGUCACAACAUCUGUCUCCGGCAACUGAGCAUUGUAGUACAGCGACGACCAUAUGGAAGAGAAAAAAAUCAUUAAUUUGGUUUUAUCGAUGGUUUAGCAUGUGAGCAUUUACAAGGCUUA
Long non-coding RNA from Stomoxys calcitrans (stable fly), 1417 nucleotides. RefSeq lists it as uncharacterized. The transcript has 3 exons. The record is from RefSeq and is a predicted model, not a curated record. Lineage: Eukaryota; Metazoa; Arthropoda; Insecta; Diptera; Muscidae.